Molecule: ribosomal RNA, 253 nt
Filed under: uncultured bacterium
Lineage: Bacteria
Description: partial 16S ribosomal RNA
Rfam family: Bacterial small subunit ribosomal RNA
Source: RNAcentral
UACAGAGGGUGCAAGCGUUGUUCGGAAUUAUUGGGCGUAAAGGGCGCGUAGGCGGUGCGGUAAGUCCGCCGUCAAAUCCCAGGGCUCAACUCUGGACAGGCGGUGGAAACUAGCAAGCUGGAGUACGGUAGGGGCAGAGGGAAUUUCCGGUGGAGCGGUGAAAUGCGUAGAGAUCGGGAAGAACACCAACGGCGAAAGCACUCUGCUGGGCCGCUCCUGACACUAAGUCACGAAAGCGUGGGGAGCGAACAGG